UACGAAGGGGGCUAGCGUUGCUCGGAAUCACUGGGCGUAAAGCGCACGUAGGCGGAUUGCUAAGUCAGGGGUGAAAUCCUGGAGCUCAACUCCAGAACUGCCUUUGAUACUGGCGACCUUGAGUCCGGGAGAGGUGAGUGGAACUGCGAGUGUAGAGGUGAAAUUCGUAGAUAUUCGCAAGAACACCAGUGGCGAAGGCGGCUUACUGGUCCGGUUCUGACGCUGAGGCGCGAAAGCGUGGGGAGCAAACAGG
This 253-nucleotide ribosomal RNA is filed under the name uncultured bacterium. RNAcentral describes it as "partial 16S ribosomal RNA". It matches the Rfam family "Bacterial small subunit ribosomal RNA", at positions 524 to 776 of the family's 1533-position model. The record is from RNAcentral.